RNAcentral lists this long non-coding RNA (356 nucleotides) under Setaria italica (foxtail millet). Its description in RNAcentral is "long non-coding RNA (SITA_LNC003165)". The record is from RNAcentral. Lineage: Eukaryota; Viridiplantae; Streptophyta; Magnoliopsida; Poales; Poaceae.
UGGAGGUGGUGCCGGAGCGGGGGGACAUGGCGGCGGCGAGGCCGGUGCCGCUGAUGGGGGAGAGCCGGGAGGCGCGGCUGAUGCGGUACAGGGAGAAGCGGAAGAACCGGCGGUUCGAGAAGACCAUCCGGUACGCGUCCCGCAAGGCCUACGCCGAGACGCGGCCGCGGAUCAAGGGCCGCUUCGCCAAGCGCGCCGACCACGACGCCGACGCCGACGACGCUGAGGCCGAGGCCGCCGUGCCGUCGUCGUCGUACGUGCUCGACUUCGGCUACGGCGUCGUGCCAAGCUUCUGAUGAUGGCGACGGUCUCGGUCCACGGAUGGCCGGCCGGCGGCGCCGCGCUUGACCCGGCUC